CUUCUUCUUACUCGAUAUUAUUUUUGUAAAAUAAAACUGUUCGAUUCAUGUGUACCCGAAGGAGAAACUUGAGAUCUUAAUCGGACGAGAUAAAAAUUACAAAAGUAUUAUCGUUAAUCGAUAGGCGGAACAACGUUAUCGGUGAUUCAGGACGAUGUUUACUCGAGUAAAUGUCAACGUCCUGUUAAUGAGGCGCACAAUUUAAUGCAUUCGUCGAUGCAAGAGAGUACGUCGUUACGUACGUAAGAAACUCGUCGUUAUGACCUGUCAACAUUUUCCUUUAAAAAAUACGACACUUAGCUGUCAUUUGAGAAAAGAUUAGAGAAAAGGGGGGAUUAGAGAAGAGGCGGUAGCGCGGAAGAAAAAGCAAAAGUUGUGCGAAAGGUACAAUAAUUUGAUGACGACGAAGCCAUUGAAAGCGGGUCGCCAGUUGGUGGUUGGUGUAGGAACGCGCGACAUGAAAUUUCGAACGGAACAGUACGAGAAAGUUGUGGAUAAAAGGAAAAAAAAAAAAAAGAAACUGGUUUCGAAAUCCGGACGCGAACAAAAAAAAAA
Vespa mandarinia (Asian giant hornet) is the source of this 555-nucleotide long non-coding RNA. Lineage: Eukaryota; Metazoa; Arthropoda; Insecta; Hymenoptera; Vespidae. The record is from RefSeq and is a predicted model, not a curated record.